RNAcentral lists this ribosomal RNA (253 nucleotides) under uncultured bacterium. RNAcentral's name for it is "partial 16S ribosomal RNA". It matches the Rfam family "Bacterial small subunit ribosomal RNA", at positions 524 to 776 of the family's 1533-position model. The record is from RNAcentral.
UACGAGGGGGGCGAGCGUUGUUCGGAAUUAUUGGGCGUAAAGGGUGCGUAGGCGGUUUGGUAAGUCUCGUGUGAAAUCUACAGGCUCAACUUGUAGUCUGCACGAGAAACUGCCGGGCUUGAGUGUGGGAGAGGUGAGUGGAAUUCCCGGUGUAGCGGUGAAAUGCGUAGAUAUCUGGAGGAACACCGGUGGCGAAGGCGGCAUUCUGGACCGACAUUGACGCUGAGGAGCGAAAGCCAGGGGAGCAAACGGG